AUCCAGCUGAUGAGUCCAAAAUAGAACGAAACACGCGUCUUGGAU
Schistosoma mattheei is the source of this 45-nucleotide non-coding RNA. The record is from Rfam. Lineage: Eukaryota; Metazoa; Platyhelminthes; Trematoda; Strigeidida; Schistosomatidae.